Molecule: long non-coding RNA, 3925 nt
Organism: Aquila chrysaetos chrysaetos
Lineage: Eukaryota; Metazoa; Chordata; Aves; Accipitriformes; Accipitridae
Exons: 10
Source: RefSeq, a predicted model, not a curated record
AGUUCUCAUGAAUACAUCAACAGAGAGUUGUGCUUCUCUCUCUAAAACAAGCGCAAGACAGACAGCAGAUGUGCUAAUAUCCCCACAUUGCUCUGCCAAACCAGUGCACACCAAGCCAUAUGGAUGGAUUGGUAUUUCCGAGGUACCAGCUUUCAGAGGUAUCCAGGACUUUUCCUGUCAGGAGGACGUCAGGUCUGCUUUCCCUAUUACUGUGGGUCCCUGAUAAGACAGGCAAUUUGUUACAGGCUGGUGGUGUACUAGCUUGUGGCAGAGGCACAGAAGGGAAAUGCUUAGCUCUUGAAAGCCAUUACAAAAAAGGAAUGAAAAGCACCAGCAAUAUCAAAUGAGGUCAGUUCUUCCUUAUUGACAGACCUGGGGAAAGUUGUGCCACUGGCAGCAGUACACAUCUGUUGGUGUGGACCAUGACUGUGUAGGCAUCCCUCCUGCUCUGCCACCAAGAUGCUGCAUGUCAGCAUGAAGAUAAGAUGCUUCUGCUGAAACUGCUGGUCAGUGUGCAAUGAGUGCUUCCUGCAUUCGACACAGUGAAGAGACUUCUGUGACUGGGAAAGUGAGGAGCUGACCACCCGCAGUUUGUCAUGAGGCCCACAUCUCUUGCACUAACACCUGAUUCCAGCUGCAGAGGAUUUAAAAACCUCCCUUCUGACUACCAGCCAGUGGCAGGAGACGUCACUGUAGCAUUUGACCUAGACAGGUGCAAAUCUUUCUGUACUAAUCUUAUCACUGGCUUUUCAGCCGAAAUUUCCCAGAAGAUCUAAGUCCAUAACCAUCCUGACUGAAAAAAUGAGAUGGAUUUCAGUUGUGCCCCGGUUUGCACUACAUGAGCUGACUUUAUACAAUAAUAAAGGAGACUGGAUCAAAGGCAAAAACCCUGCUGGAAAUCUUGUGGGCUGUCACCCUGUCUUUGGCGGCAGGAUAGUGAAAGGCUUUACUUUAACUGGUGUGAUAGGGCUUUGGGGCUGUUCCAGGAGCCUGCACAUUUCAAAGCUAUUUUGGUGUUACACUCCCUACUCCGCACUGGUCCCUGUGCGACAGCUUCGUGCGCUCACUCGCUGAUUUCUCAUCGACCUCCCUCGGUUUGAGAGCACGCCUGCCUGCCUCGGUGUUUCCCACACGCAUUACCACGAACACACACUUGAGGGCCACAGAUCUUAAGUUUAGCAGCUCCUGCCUUUAUCAGAUUUAUUCACUUGGAGAGGGAGUGGGAUUGCUCUCUGUCCCUUUGUAGCAUUAAUUUUCAAACACAAGGCAGGGUGGUCAAUAAUCUAUUCUGCUGGCAGUUUUACUUCGUUUAUUCCUGUUUCAGGUAUUAGUUUCUUCAGCAAUUUUAUCACCUGCAGGUUUGAUGUUAUCUAUUCAGUCUGGCAUGACCAUACAUGCCUGUCCCUGAUCCUAGGGUGGCACACCAGAGUCUCCACGUUGCCCUGAGCCACAUUGUAGCUUGGCAUUGGAGAGUAUUUAUGUACAUGGAAGAGGACCUCUGUUUCCAGAGAGAUCAUCUGUUCCUACUGCUUAUACCCUAUUUGAUGUCAUGAUCUUGGUUGCUGUGGAAAUGAUUAAGCUGUCAUCAACAGGAUUCAGAUGGGGAAUAAGCUCUGGGAGAAGAUAAUACAACAUUCCUUCUUUUAUGCAAAUAUGUGCAGUUAAGAAUGGCAAACAAACAAGCAAAAUAUAGAGGCAAACACCCUUCCCUCUCCCAAAUCACUAUUCAGACUGAGCAGACUGUUUUAAAUAAGCACAUUUUUUUCCAGGGGGUGUCAGAUGGUGUCUAGAAAAUGUUAUCCGCUGUUGUGGAAGUGGCAGAAGGGAGCUAGAGGUCAGUGAACAUAUCCUCAUUCCUUUGGUUUGAACGGGUACAAAUUCCAAAGUAGAUGCCAAACUCCCUUUUGUCCUGUGCUUUGAGCAGGUCGUGGCAGGUGCAAUAUGUUGCAAAAGUAAGUAAGAGUAGCACAGUUUUUGUGGGUGCAAAUGGAUAUGCAACAUGCAGAGGACCAGAGAGCUAUGGCCUCUGCACUUAAGUAGCUGCCCAGGGUUGUGUUAAGCACAGCAAGUCACAGUGGGAGGAGUAAUGCUCCCAGACAUUACAUGAGGUUAUGCUGACUCAGGAAAAUGAAAUACCUCCCAGAAGUACCUCUGGAUUUAAUUAAGAAGUGUUUAGAGUCAAUGGCAAUUCUCCAAAGGGAACUUGUGUUAACCACCAGCUGAUUACACGUGGAAUUGCAUGGGGGAUCUUUCAGUAUUUGGUGAAUAUACAUGGGAAGCAGGUCAUCUAGGUUGUAUAUUUGUAGUUGUAAUUAGAAAGACAAACUGUAUGGGAAGAGAAAGUCAACAAUGAUCUUGAUAAUUAGUUUAAUGCUGCUAUGCACAUAUGCUGUGUUUUUUGGAGUCUGCAAUACUGCUGUCUCAGUGGUGGGUGUAAAUGCCUUAUAGUAAGUUGAAUCCAGUUACUAUUACUUUCCAGAGUCUUGGCAGCGCUAAUGUCUCUAACAUAGUCUAUAUUCAGGAAACUGGGAAAAUGCUCAAGUCAAAACAAACUAGGGUUGUUUUCUUAUUAGAAAACUCUCAUAAAAAUGUGGGGGUUUUGCAGAAUCUCCUGGUACUGUUGAUCUGAAGCUCUAAGUAGUCAGCUCUUUACCUGCAGCUAAAAUUAUACACACAGCAUAAUGAGCAGUUGAUAUGUGACUAAGCUGCUCUCUUAUUCAGACAUUGAUAGGAUGUUAUAACACAUCAGGAAAGAUUAAGGAUGAUAACAGGAAAAUCCUUCUAGAAGUUUUUCAUUACUACUGAUGCUUCAUGGAACAUGUUGAAAGAGUUUUCACUCAAGAAAUACGUGCUGCUUUUUUGUUCUUUCUGAUGACAGCUUCUCAGAGAGGGCACAGCCUGGGCCAUGUUUUGAAUCAGGGACUUCAUGAUCUUUGGAGGAUGCUGUAAACCUGCACAGAGCAUUCAUUUUCCACAGCAGAGAUGGGUCAAUUACAUCAAUACCCCUCAAAGUGUGGAGUUUACAAGAUAGGUGCCUGCAGGAUGCAAUGGGAUUCUGAAGUCCAACGGAACAAUUGUGGUGCCUUCUCUCUUUUCACCUCAUUGAUGCUGCUACUUUCAAAGUUUCAUCAGGCACCAGAGAGAUCCCUGAUGAGCAGGGUAAAGCAGAGAAACUCCAGAGGUCCUUAAUGAAAUCGUUCAGAUCUGUAUGCUGUGCCCGAGUUCAUUCUGGAUUUGGCUUCCCUGUCUGAAUCCCCUACGCACGCUCAUAGUUUCCUCUGGUGCAUUCACCUUCAGAUGACUGUCUUGAUGCAAGUAAAAGAACCAUAUAUAACUUGUCGAGGAAUGUAAUAGAGCAGAACAUGAGCAUUGUCUGCAGCAUGUUUAGCUUUAACACACUGUGCUGAGCCUUUGUAGGUUAAUAUACAGAUAAUGUUGUCAGUCAAGUUUGGUGCAUUUUCUUUAACUGUGUGAAGUCAACACUGAGAUUAGGUGGUACUACAAAGCCUCAAAAACCAGGCUGCGAUUUUUGCAAGGAGACUUAUGCAUCUAACUCAUAUUGAAUUUUAGUUGGCUACAGGGACCUAAGUUCCUUAACAUUCUUGGUCUUAAAGAAUUACCCUUCAUCUUCUUUGUGUUUUACUCCAGGUAGAAUGGAUACAGGCUUCUUACAAAGAAAAUGUUAUUUUUAAUUUUAAGCAAAUCAAAACCUAAGACAUGAAUAAAGCUAUUUCGAAAGGGUUUGAAAAAUUAUUCAGAAAUGCUGUUAGGAUAAAUUCCUUAUGUACUGGAGAGAAGUUGCAAUGUUUUGUGCUAUUUUAGUGACUUUUCCUUGAAAAUUGCCUACUUGUAUCUUUUUGUUUUAAAUAAUUUCUAGGAUUCAGAUUGGUUAAUGCACCAUUAAAGGAAUUUAUUUGGACAGAAA